CCUACGGGUGGCACCAGUGGGGAAUAUUGCACAAUGGGCGCAAGCCUGAUGCAGCCAUGCCGCGUGUAUGAAGAAGGCCUUCGGGUUGUGAAGUACUUUCAGCGGGGAGGAAGGUGUUGUGGUUAAUAACCGCAGCAAUUGACGUUACCCGCAGAAGAAGCACCGGCUAACUCCGUGCCAGCAGCCGCGGUAAUACGGAGGGUGCAAGCGUUAAUCGGAAUUACUGGGCGUAAAGCGCACGCAGACGGUCUGUCAAGUCGGAUGGGAAAUCCCCGGGCUCAACCUGGGAACCGCAUUCGAAACUGGCGGGCUAGAGUCUUGUAGAGGGGGGUAGAAUUCUAGGUGUAGCGGUGAAAUGCGUAGAGAUCUGGAGGAAUACCGGUGGCGAAGGCGGCCCCCUGGACAAAGACUGACGCUCAGGUGCGAAAGCGUGGGGAGCAAACAGGAUUAGAUACCCGUGUAGUC
Molecule: ribosomal RNA, 465 nt
Filed under: uncultured bacterium
Lineage: Bacteria
Description: bacterial SSU rRNA
Rfam family: Bacterial small subunit ribosomal RNA
Source: RNAcentral